This 634-nucleotide long non-coding RNA is filed under the name Pan troglodytes (chimpanzee). RNAcentral describes it as "long non-coding RNA NONPTRT000419". The record is from RNAcentral. Lineage: Eukaryota; Metazoa; Chordata; Mammalia; Primates; Hominidae.
UCUUGGCCACAGACAUUCCUUUCAACAUGUGCUGACCUUCUGCUUGAAGGUCUCCUUGAGGACAUUGUCUCAGAAGUCUCUGUUGCAAUAUUUGAACGGAUCACUCAACCCUUUCUACUCUUAAAUUUUCUCUACCGUCUCACCUUAGGCAAUAUAAAGUCCUGGUUCACUCUCAGGAACGAGAGCUGACCCAGUUAAAGGAGAAGUUACGGGAAGGGAGAGAUGCCUCCCGCUCAUUGCAUGAGCAUCUCCAGGCCCUCCUCACUCCGGAUGAGCCGGACAAGUCCCAGGGGCAGGACCUCCAAGAACAGCUGGCUGAGGGGUGUAGACUGGCACAGCAACUUGUCCAAAAGCUCAGCCCAGAAAAUGACAACGAUGACGAUGAAGAUGUUCAAGUUGAGGUGGCUGAGAAAGUGCAGAAAUCGUCUGCCCCCAGGUGACACUGAAUACUCAGGAACAAUUAAUGGAUGGUAACAUAUGAGGAAUAUCUAGGAGGCACACCCUCUCUGGCAUCUAUGAUGGGCCAAAAACCCGCAUUCGCUUGGCCACAGUAUGUGAAAUAUAACCCAGCUUAGACACAGGGUGCGGCAGCUGUCAUGUUUCUCUAUGUGUGCCGAGUGUCAUGUCUGCACUG